GUUGUAUGGUUAAGUGAAUAAGCGUACACGGUGGAUGCCUUGGCAGUCAGAGGCGAUGAAGGACGUACUAACCUGCGAAAAGCUGUGGGAAGCCGGUAAGAGGCGUUAGACCCGCAGAUAUCCGAAUGGGGAAACCCAGUGCAUUUAUGCACUAUCGUUACAUGAAUACAUAGUGUAACGAGGCAAACCGGGAGAACUGAAACAUCUAAGUACCCCGAGGAAAAGAAAUCAACCGAGAUUCCGUUAGUAGCGGCGAGCGAACGCGGAGUAGCCCUUAAGCUACAUUGGUGUUAGUGGAAUACUCUGGAAAGAGUAGCGAUACAGGGUGAUAGCCCCGUACACGACAACACCUUUAUAGUGAAAACGAGUAGGACGGGACACGAGACAUCCUGUUUGAACAUGGGGGGACCAUCCUCCAAGGCUAAAUACUCCUGACUGACCGAUAGUGAACCAGUACCGUGAGGGAAAGGCGAAAAGAACCCCUGUAAGGGGAGUGAAAUAGAACCUGAAACCGUGUACGUACAAGCAGUGGGAGCACCUUCGUGGUGUGACUGCGUACCUUUUGUAUAAUGGGUCAGCGACUUACAUUCUGUAGCAAGGUUAACCGAAUAGGGGAGCCGUAGGGAAACCGAGUCUUAACUGGGCGAAUAGUUGCAGGGUGUAGACCCGAAACCGGGCGAUCUAUCCAUGAGCAGGUUGAAGGUUGGGUAACACUAACUGGAGGACCGAACCCACUAAUGUUGAAAAAUUAGGGGAUGACUUGUGGAUCGGAGUGAAAGGCUAAUCAAGCUCGGAGAUAUCUGGUUCUCCUCGAAAGCUAUUUAGGUAGCGCCUCGAGCGAAUACCAUUGGGGGUAGAGCACUGUUUGGGCUAGGGGGUCAUCCCGACUUACCAACCCCAUGCAAACUCCGAAUACCAAUGAGUACUACUCGGGAGACACACGGCGGGUGCUAACGUCCGUCGUGGAAAGGGAAACAACCCAGACCGCCAGCUAAGGUCCCAAAGUAAUGAUUAAGUGGAAAACGAUGUGGGAAGGCAUAGACAGCUAGGAGGUUGGCUUAGAAGCAGCCAUUCUUUAAAGAAAGCGUAAUAGCUCACUAGUCGAGUCGGCCUGCGCGGAAGAUGUAACGGGGCUAAAUCAUUCACCGAAGCUGCGGACUUGUGCUUGCACAAGUGGUAGAGGAGCGUUCUGUAAGCCGUUGAAGGUAGACCGGGAGGUUUGCUGGAGGUAUCAGAAGUGCGAAUGCUGACAUGAGUAACGAUAAGGGGAGUGAAAAACUUCCCCGCCGAAAGACCAAGGGUUCCUAUCCCAUGCUAAUCAGGGUAGGGUGAGUCGACUCCUAAGGCGAGGCUGAAAAGCGUAGUCGAUGGGAAACGGGUUAAUAUUCCCGUACCGACCAAUACUGCGAUGGGGUGACGGAGAAAGCUAGGCAAGCGCGGCGUUGGUAGUCCGCGUGAAAGUAAGUAGGCUGAGAGACUAGGCAAAUCCGGUUUCUUAAGGCUGAGAUACGAGACGAGUGUCUAAGGACACGAAGUUGUUGACGCUAUGCUUCCAGGAAAAACCUCUAAGCUUCAGGUAUUGGUGAUCGUACCCGAAACCGACACAGGUGGUCAGGUAGAGCAUACCAAGGCGCUUGAGAGAACUCUGCUGAAGGAACUAGGCAAAAUAGUACCGUAACUUCGGGAGAAGGUACGCUCUUUGCUGUUAAGGACUUGCUCCGUAAGCAGCGAAGAGUCGCAGUGACCAGCUGGCUGCAACUGUUUAUUAAAAACACAGCACUCUGCAAACUCGUAAGAGGACGUAUAGGGUGUGACACCUGCCCGGUGCCGGAAGGUUAAUUGAUGGGGUUAGCGCAAGCGAAGCUCUUGAUCGAAGCCCCGGUAAACGGCGGCCGUAACUAUAACGGUCCUAAGGUAGCGAAAUUCCUUGUCGGGUAAGUUCCGACCUGCACGAAUGGUGUAAUGAUGGCCAGGCUGUCUCCAGCAGAGACUCAGUGAAAUUGAAAUCGCGGUGAAGAUGCCGUGUACCCGCGGCUAGACGGAAAGACCCCGUGAACCUUUACUAUAGCUUGGCACUGAACAUUGGCCCUACAUGUGUAGGAUAGGUGGGAGGCUUUGAAGUUUGAACGCUAGUUCAGAUGGAGCCGUCCUUGAAAUACCACCCUUGUAUGUCUGAUGUUCUAACGUAGGCCCCUUAUCGGGGUCGCGGACAGUGUCUGGUGGGUAGUUUGACUGGGGCGGUCUCCUCCUAAAGCGUAACGGAGGAGCACGAAGGUUGGCUAAGUACGGUCGGACAUCGUACGGUUAGUGUAAUGGUAGAAGCCAGCUUAACUGCGAGACAGACACGUCGAGCAGGUACGAAAGUAGGUCAUAGUGAUCCGGUGGUUCUGUAUGGAAGGGCCAUCGCUCAACGGAUAAAAGGUACUCCGGGGAUAACAGGCUGAUACCGCCCAAGAGUUCAUAUCGACGGCGGUGUUUGGCACCUCGAUGUCGGCUCAUCACAUCCUGGGGCUGAAGUCGGUCCCAAGGGUAUGGCUGUUCGCCAUUUAAAGUGGUACGCGAGCUGGGUUUAGAACGUCGUGAGACAGUUCGGUCCCUAUCUGCCGUGGGCGUUGGAUGAUUGAGUGGAGUUGCUCCUAGUACGAGAGGACCGGAGUGAACGAACCGCUGGUGUUCGGGUUGUCAUGCCAAUGGCAUUGCCCGGUAGCUACGUUCGGAACGGAUAAGCGCUGAAAGCAUCUAAGCGCGAAGCCGGCCACAAGAUGAGUCAUCCCUCAGGCUUUAAGCCUGCUAAAGGGUCGUUGAAGACCACAACGUUGAUAGGUGAGGUGUGGAAGCGCAGUGAUGUGUUAAGCUAACUCAUACUAAUUGCCCGUGUGGCUUAACCAUACAACGCCCAAGGUGUU
Molecule: ribosomal RNA, 2906 nt
Filed under: Rheinheimera sp. D18
Lineage: Bacteria; Pseudomonadati; Pseudomonadota; Gammaproteobacteria; Chromatiales; Chromatiaceae
Description: 23S ribosomal RNA
Rfam family: Bacterial large subunit ribosomal RNA
Source: RNAcentral